UAUAUACAAUAUUAUCUAAAAUGGGAUGAACCUGCACGUUGCUGGGAUCACGUUGGAAAUUAGCUUCCUGGGUAGAUCGGUUUCAAAUAGCUAUAUUGAGGCUUCGUAAAUAUAAAUUUUGUGCAGGUUGAGUGGGAAACAAAAGAGCAUGUGCCAGCUCAAGCGACAAAGAGAAAUUGGGGCGGUAAGGGAGGAAAAUUGGGCACCCAAAGUAAGGGAAAAGAGAGGAA
Molecule: long non-coding RNA, 230 nt
Organism: Lolium rigidum
Lineage: Eukaryota; Viridiplantae; Streptophyta; Magnoliopsida; Poales; Poaceae
Exons: 3
Source: RefSeq, a predicted model, not a curated record